GAGAUAUAUUGUGAUCUCUAUCACAAUAUCAUCGAAACUUUUUUCGAUGGAUUGGAACAUUUCCAAUUCUACCUUUCGAGGGCCAUCGAUCAUCAAGAUGAUGUUCGAUGAGUCUCACAAUCCACCAGUGAUAUAUAGCAGUAUAUAGUGAUAACCUAGUAGGAUGAAAGUAUGAAUUUUUAGGUGCAAUUAUCGUAUGAUUCAGUUCUUCUAUCGU
This 217-nucleotide long non-coding RNA is filed under the name Elaeis guineensis (African oil palm). Its description in RNAcentral is "long non-coding RNA (EGUI_LNC034434)". Lineage: Eukaryota; Viridiplantae; Streptophyta; Magnoliopsida; Arecales; Arecaceae. The record is from RNAcentral.